RNAcentral lists this transfer RNA (72 nucleotides) under Capra hircus (goat). It matches the Rfam family "tRNA". From Rfam's summary of the family: Transfer RNA (tRNA) molecules are approximately 80 nucleotides in length. Their secondary structure includes four short double-helical elements and three loops (D, anti-codon, and T loops). Further hydrogen bonds mediate the characteristic L-shaped molecular structure. tRNAs have two regions of fundamental functional importance: the anti-codon, which is responsible for specific mRNA codon recognition, and the 3' end, to which the tRNAs corresponding amino acid is attached (by aminoacyl-tRNA synthetases). tRNAs cope with the degeneracy of the genetic code in two manners: having more than one tRNA (with a specific anti-codon) for a particular amino acid; and 'wobble' base-pairing, i.e. permitting non-standard base-pairing at the 3rd anti-codon position. The record is from Rfam by way of RNAcentral. Lineage: Eukaryota; Metazoa; Chordata; Mammalia; Artiodactyla; Bovidae. RNAcentral also lists the same sequence under 1 other name.
UCCCUGGUAGCUCAGAUGGUAAAGUGUCUGCCUGCAAUGCGGGAGACCCAGGUUCGAUUCCUGGGUGGGGAA